Molecule: ribosomal RNA, 538 nt
Filed under: Streptococcus sp. HFB0008
Lineage: Bacteria; Bacillati; Bacillota; Bacilli; Lactobacillales; Streptococcaceae
Description: bacterial SSU rRNA
Rfam family: Bacterial small subunit ribosomal RNA
Source: RNAcentral
UUUCUUGAGUCGCGAACGGGUGAGUAACGCGUAGGUAACCUGCCUAUUAGCGGGGGAUAACUAUUGGAAACGAUAGCUAAUACCGCAUAAUAUUAAUUAUUGCAUGAUAAUUGAUUGAAAGAUGCAAGCGCAUCACUAGUAGAUGGACCUGCGUUGUAUUAGCUAGUUGGUAAGGUAAGAGCUUACCAAGGCGACGAUACAUAGCCGACCUGAGAGGGUGAUCGGCCACACUGGGACUGAGACACGGCCCAGACUCCUACGGGAGGCAGCAGUAGGGAAUCUUCGGCAAUGGACGAAAGUCUGACCGAGCAACGCCGCGUGAGUGAAGAAGGUUUUCGGAUCGUAAAGCUCUGUUGUAAGUCAAGAACGUGUGUGAGAGUGGAAAGUUCACACAGUGACGGUAGCUUACCAGAAAGGGACGGCUAACUACGUGCCAGCAGCCGCGGUAAUACGUAGGUCCCGAGCGUUGUCCGGAUUUAUUGGGCGUAAAGGGAGCGCAGGCGGUCAGGAAAGUCUGGAGUAAAAGGCUAUGGCUCAA